CAGUCGCCGCGGGAAUACGAAGGGUGCAAGCGUUAAUCGGAAUUACUGGGCGUAAAGCGUGCGUAGGUGGUGGUUUAAGUCCGUUGUGAAAGCCCUGGGCUCAACCUGGGAAUUGCAGUGGAUACUGGGUCACUAGAGUGUGGUAGAGGAUAGUGGAAUUUCCGGUGCAGCAGUGAAAUGCGUAGAGAUCGGGAGGAACAUCAGUGGCGAAGGCGGCCAUCUGGGACAACACUGACGCUGAAGCACGAAAGCGUGGGGAGCAAACAGGAUUAGAUACCCCUGUAGUCCCUGUCUCUUAUAC
This 301-nucleotide ribosomal RNA is filed under the name uncultured bacterium. RNAcentral's name for it is "partial 16S ribosomal RNA". It matches the Rfam family "Bacterial small subunit ribosomal RNA", at positions 509 to 807 of the family's 1533-position model. The record is from RNAcentral.